Molecule: ribosomal RNA, 1317 nt
Filed under: Gambierdiscus sp. I-b
Lineage: Eukaryota; Dinophyceae; Gonyaulacales; Pyrocystaceae
Description: SSU rRNA
Rfam family: Eukaryotic small subunit ribosomal RNA
Source: RNAcentral
ACAGGUGACGGAGGAUGAGGGUUUGACUCCGGAGAGGGAGCCUGAGAGAUGGCUACCACAUCUAAGGAAGGCAGCAGGCGCGCAAAUUGCCCAAUCCCAACAGAGGGAGGUAGUGACAAGAAAUAGCAAUACAAGGCAUCCAUGUUUUGUACUUGGAAUGAAUGGCCAGCAAACUUUGUUUUUAGGAUCAAUUGGAGGGCAAGUCUGGUGCCAGCAGCCGCGGUAAUUCCAGCUCCAAUGGUGUAUAUUAGAGUUGUUGCGGUUAAAAGGCUCGUAGUUGGAUCUCUGCUGGGGAUGUCUGGUCCGCCCUUUGGGUGAGCAUCUGGUGCAAUCCAAGCCCUUUUUCCCAGAGGGGCGUCUGCACUUGACUGUGUGGUGCACUUCUGGGAGCAUUUACUUUGAGGAAGUAAGGGUGUUCAAAGCAGGUGUUUCGCCUUGGAUGCAGAAGCAUGGAAUAUUGUUUUGAGUCUUGGCCUCAUUUUGUUGGUUUCUGAAGCGAAGGUAGUGUUCAAAGGGGAUGGUUGGGGGCAUUCAUAUUCGACUGUCAGAGGUGAAAUUCUUGAAUUUGUCAAGGAUGGACCAGUGCGAAGGCAUUUGCCAAGGAUGUCUUCAUUGAUCAAGAACGAAAGUUAGGGGAUCGAAGACGAUUAGAUACCGUCAUAGUCUUAACCAUAAACAAUGCCAACUAGAGAUUGGGGGUCGUUACCUGUAGGAUUCUGUCAGCACCUUGCAAGAAAUUUAAGUCUUUGGGUUCCGGGGGGAGUAUGGUCGCAAGGCUGAAACUUAAAGGAAUUGACGGAAGGGCACCACCAGGAGUGGAGCCUGCGGCUUAAUUUGACUCAACACGGGGAAACUUACCAGGUCCUGGCACAAGUGGGAUUGACAGAUUGACAGCUUUUUCUUGAUUCUGUGGGUGGUGGUGCAUGGCCGUUCUUAGUUGGUGGAGUGAUUUGUCUGGUUAAUUCCGUUAACGAACGAGACCUUGACCUGCUAAAUAGUAACACGUAAUUGCGAGUAUGUGGACAACUUCUUAGAGGGACUUUGUGUGUCUAGCACAAGGAAGUGUGAGGCAAUAACAGGUCUGUGAUGCCCUUUGAUGUUCUGGGCUGCACGCGUGCUACACUGAUGCACCCACUGAGCACCUCAUCUUGCCUGAAGUGGCUGGGCAAUCUUUGGAAUGUGCACCGUGAUGGGGAUGGAUCAUUGCAAUUAUUGCUUCUUAACGAGGAAUUCCUAGUAAAUGUGAGUCAUCAACUUGCACUGAUUACGUCCCUGCCCUUUGUACACACCGCCCGUCGCUCCUACCGAUUGAGUGGU